UUUGCCAACCCCGCCCAUU
This 19-nucleotide microRNA is filed under the name Prunus persica (peach). Its description in RNAcentral is "microRNA miRNA_228". The record is from RNAcentral. Lineage: Eukaryota; Viridiplantae; Streptophyta; Magnoliopsida; Rosales; Rosaceae.